This 253-nucleotide ribosomal RNA is filed under the name uncultured bacterium. RNAcentral describes it as "partial 16S ribosomal RNA". It matches the Rfam family "Bacterial small subunit ribosomal RNA", at positions 524 to 776 of the family's 1533-position model. The record is from RNAcentral.
UACGUAGGGGGCAAGCGUUGUCCGGAAUCAUUGGACGUAAAGCGCGUGUAGGCGGUUCGGUAAGUCUGCUGUGAAAGUCCAGGGCUCAACCUUUGAAAGCCGGUGGAUACUGUGGGGCUAGAGUCCGGAAGAGGCGAGUGGAAUUCCUGGUGUAGCGGUGGAAUGCGCAGAUAUCAGGAGGAACACCAAUAGCGAAGGCAGCUCGCUGGGACGGUACUGACGCUGAGGCGCGAAAGCCAGGGGAGCGAACGGG